AACGUAGGUGGCAAGCGUUAUCCGGAAUUACUGGGCGUAAAGCGCGCGCAGGCGGCUAUCCAAGUCAGUGGUGAAAGCCCGGAGCUCAACUCCGGAACUGCCAUUGAAACUGUUUAGCUUGAGGAUGAGAGAGGUGAGUGGAAUUCCCAGUGUAGAGGUGAAAUUCGUAGAUAUUGGGAAGAACACCGGUGGCGAAGGCGGCUCACUGGCUCAUUACUGACGCUCAGGCGCGAUAGCGUGGGGAUCAAACAGG
Molecule: ribosomal RNA, 253 nt
Filed under: uncultured bacterium
Lineage: Bacteria
Description: partial 16S ribosomal RNA
Rfam family: Bacterial small subunit ribosomal RNA
Source: RNAcentral